ACACACCGCCCGUCGCUACUACCGAUUGAAUGGUUAAGCUGAGGUAAUCGGAUUGGUACUGUUUUAGCGGCUCUGUCGCUUGACUGGUAUCGAAAAGAUGACCAAACUUAAUCAUUUAGAGGAAGUAAAAGUCGUAACAAGGUUUCCGUAGGUGAACCUGCGGAAGGAUCAUU
This 173-nucleotide ribosomal RNA is filed under the name Diplostomum pseudospathaceum. RNAcentral's name for it is "partial 18S ribosomal RNA". It matches the Rfam family "Eukaryotic small subunit ribosomal RNA", at positions 1664 to 1830 of the family's 1831-position model. The record is from RNAcentral. Lineage: Eukaryota; Metazoa; Platyhelminthes; Trematoda; Diplostomida; Diplostomidae.